RNAcentral lists this ribosomal RNA (429 nucleotides) under Chloroflexota bacterium. RNAcentral describes it as "Chloroflexi bacterium partial 16S ribosomal RNA". It matches the Rfam family "Bacterial small subunit ribosomal RNA", at positions 355 to 776 of the family's 1533-position model. RNAcentral also lists the same sequence under 1 other name. The record is from RNAcentral. Lineage: Bacteria; Bacillati; Chloroflexota.
UAGGGAAUCUUCGGCAAUGGACGAAAGUCUGACCGAGCAACGCCGCGUGAGUGAAGAAGGUUUUCGGAUCGUAAAACUCUGUUGUUAGAGAAGAACAAGGACGUUAGUAACUGAACGUCCCCUGACGGUAUCUAACCAGAAAGCCACGGCUAACUACGUGCCAGCAGCCGCGGUAAUACGUAGGUGGCAAGCGUUGUCCGGAUUUAUUGGGCGUAAAGCGAGCGCAGGCGGUUUCUUAAGUCUGAUGUGAAAGCCCCCGGCUCAACCGGGGAGGGUCAUUGGAAACUGGGAGACUUGAGUGCAGAAGAGGAGAGUGGAAUUCCAUGUGUAGCGGUGAAAUGCGUAGAUAUAUGGAGGAACACCAGUGGCGAAGGCGGCUCUUUGGUCUGUAACUGACGCUGAGGCUCGAAAGCGUGGGGAGCAAACAGG